Molecule: unclassified non-coding RNA, 647 nt
Filed under: Hevea brasiliensis (rubber tree)
Lineage: Eukaryota; Viridiplantae; Streptophyta; Magnoliopsida; Malpighiales; Euphorbiaceae
Source: RNAcentral
UUAAUGAAUUACAGGAAAAAUCAUUUCCUCCUAUGAAUAAAGUUAAAUCAUAAUACUAAAUUUGAUACAUAGAUUAUAAAAGGAAUUUCUAAAUUAUAGGGAAGGAAAAAUAAAAUUCAAGUUCGGGGCAAAAUUACGCUUUCGAUCAAAGUCAUCAUGAGUUCUUCUGUAAAAGGACUAAAAAACUUGACCAUAAAAUCUUCACUCCGGGUAAUAAGAUAGGACAAAACGGUAUUUUCACCUUGUUUCUUAGGUAGAUCAUCAGUAACUUGCCUUCUGCAAAUUGGGCACGUCCAAUUGCGCUCUAGCCACGUGUCCACACACUCGACGUGAAAAACAUGGCCGCAUUUCGGUAGUUUCCGGCAAUCCUCACCGCCGACAACAUCGUUCAGGCAAACGACGCAGCAAUUCUCUUCGCUGUAGUUUUCUUCCACCGUGAACGGCGGCGGUAGGCGAUUGUCGGGGUUGAACCACCGUAAUUUGAUCCCGCAAAUUAUGAAAACGGUGACGGCGGUGAUGGUUGUGAUGGUCGUUAUUAAUAGCUGAAAAUUAAAAUCCAUUGGAUUCGGAUCAGGAAUUUCCCCAAUUAGUAUAUUUGUAAGAAGAAAGAAGAAAAAGGGAAGGUAAAGUGGAUAAAUACAAAUGAA